Molecule: ribosomal RNA, 434 nt
Filed under: uncultured archaeon
Lineage: Archaea
Description: bacterial SSU rRNA
Rfam family: Archaeal small subunit ribosomal RNA
Source: RNAcentral
CGCGGUAAUACCAGCUCUCCGAGUGGUAGGGAUGAUUAUUGGGCUUAAAGCGUCCGUAGCCGGCCUAGCAAGUCUUCCGUUAAAUCCACCGAUUCAAUCGUUGGGCUGCGGGAGAUACUGUUGGGCUAGGGGGCGGGAGAGGCCGACGGUAUUCUCGGGGUAGGGGUAAAAUCCUAUAAUCCCGGGAGGACCACCAGUGGCGAAGGCGGUCGGCUAGAACGCGCUCGACGGUGAGGGACGAAAGCUGGGGGAGCGAACCGGAUUAGAUACCCGGGUAGUCCCAGCUGUAAACGAUGCGGGCUAGGUGUUGGGGCGGCUACGGGCCGCUUCAGUGCCGCAGGGAAGCCGUUAAGCCCGCCGCCUGGGGAGUACGGCCGCAAGGCUGAAACUUAAAGGAAUUGGCGGGGGAGCACCACAAGGCGUAAAGCUUGCGA